AAGUCGUAACAAGGUCUCCGUAGGUGAACCUGCGGAGGGAUCAUUAACACAUAUGUAUAUGUGGGCUCAGCACCAUGUACAUAUAUCAUCCAUACCAAUUCUCUUAUCUACCUAUACCGUGAACACAUGUGACCCACCCCUCUACUUUUCAUUUUCAUGUCAGUCGGCUCGGUCGUUCGUUCCGUCGGUUCGGCUGAGAUGAUAGUGAACUGUUGGAGGUUUUUGUUAUCCAUACCUUUUCCAAGCUUCAGUUGUUUUUUUAUUUUGUUAGCUUGCUUUGCAUGCUAUACAGUAUAUACAAAAACAUGCUUUUUGAGUACAACUCUUAGCAACGGAUAUCUUGGUUCUC
This 349-nucleotide unclassified non-coding RNA is filed under the name fungal sp. RNAcentral's name for it is "partial internal transcribed spacer region". The stretch from base 1 to 46 matches the Rfam family "Eukaryotic small subunit ribosomal RNA", at positions 1786 to 1831 of the family's 1831-position model. The record is from RNAcentral. Lineage: Eukaryota; Fungi.